RNAcentral lists this long non-coding RNA (374 nucleotides) under Homo sapiens (human). RNAcentral's name for it is "HSALNT0011184". Lineage: Eukaryota; Metazoa; Chordata; Mammalia; Primates; Hominidae. The record is from RNAcentral.
GAUGGGAGUGGGAUGAUCCUCAGGCCCCUGGCAGAGAGUUCAGUUUCUGAGGUCAUCAGAGAAGAUUUGCCAGAGGCUUUCGCUUACCCAAGGGAAGUAAUGUUAAAGGGUCAUGUGUUUUUCUGAAGCAAAGUAUCGCUUUUACAGAGAAAUGGCUGCUACCUAGGGCCAGUGCCUUCACAGUUUGGUUAUGCUAAGUAGAAGAUACAGAUUUGUAAUGCCUAAAUUCUCACACUUCUAAUCCUACAGUCCAAUUAUUCUGGCAUUUGCUACAAUGUGCUCUGAAGAAAUGGAUUGGAAAUAAACAAAUAAAUAAAUAAAUAAAUAAUUCCACAGGAGGAAAAAAAUGCGUUCUGAAAGGAUCAGGAUUUUCA